UAGCAGCACAUAGAUAUUGGCGCUCUCAGUCCUGCCAGUGUCCUUGUGCUGCCCCA
Molecule: microRNA precursor, 56 nt
Filed under: Alligator mississippiensis (American alligator)
Lineage: Eukaryota; Metazoa; Chordata; Crocodylia; Alligatoridae
Description: Ami-Mir-15-P2d_pre stem-loop
Source: RNAcentral